Molecule: signal recognition particle RNA, 268 nt
Filed under: Carlito syrichta (Philippine tarsier)
Lineage: Eukaryota; Metazoa; Chordata; Mammalia; Primates; Tarsiidae
Description: Metazoan signal recognition particle RNA (ENSTSYG00000028807.1)
Rfam family: Metazoan signal recognition particle RNA
About the family: The signal recognition particle (SRP) is a universally conserved ribonucleoprotein. It is involved in the co-translational targeting of proteins to membranes.
Source: RNAcentral
CCUGCGGGGUAGUGUAGGCCUAUAGCUGAGGCAGGAGCCUCACUUGAGCCCAAGAGUUCUAGCCUGUAGUACACUGUGCCGACAGAGAUCUACACUAAGCUCAACGUCAAUAUGGUGACCUCCUGAGGGGAGGAAGGGCACCAGGUUACCUAAGGCAGUGUGAACCAGCCCGGGUCAGAAACAAAAGGUCAAAACACCCAUACUGAUCAGUAGUAGGACUGCACCUGCGAAUAGCCACUGCACUCCAUCUUGGCAACAUGGUGAGACA